CACAUAUUAUACAACUGACCAAUGGAACAAAUAGUGAACUUGUUAUAUGUGAACACCUCCAGCAUAGACCAUGCGACGCCCCAUUCACCAGUGUGACUCCAAAGUCAAAAGUAGUGUACUCUUAAACAGAAGUAAGUUAAUUGGUCCCAUUUAUUCUCCCUUUCUUUUUGUGCUGGUCCUUGCUGAUAUUUCAGUGCCAUCCUUGAUCGAUCAGUGAGCAGAGAGAGCAUUUAGAUUAGUCAAAGAGUGAGCUCAGAACAGUAGCAAGAGAGCUCUCCUCACGCAAUUCUCUCCCUAUUUAUAGUUGCACUACACAUCAGGGGAGAGGAGCAACACCUGUAGAUCAUCAACUUAGUCUACACUCGUCAGUUCUGCAAUCUGAGAAAUAAAUGAACACAAGGG
Molecule: ribosomal RNA, 402 nt
Filed under: Triticum aestivum (bread wheat)
Lineage: Eukaryota; Viridiplantae; Streptophyta; Magnoliopsida; Poales; Poaceae
Description: partial small subunit ribosomal RNA
Source: RNAcentral